This 253-nucleotide ribosomal RNA is filed under the name uncultured bacterium. Its description in RNAcentral is "partial 16S ribosomal RNA". It matches the Rfam family "Bacterial small subunit ribosomal RNA", at positions 524 to 776 of the family's 1533-position model. The record is from RNAcentral.
UACAGAGGGUGCAAGCGUUAAUCGGAAUUACUGGGCGUAAAGCGUGCGUAGACGGUUACAUAAGUCGGGUGUGAAAGCCCCGGGCUCAACCUGGGAAUUGCAUUCGAGACUGCGUAGCUAGGGUGCGGAAGAGGGAAGCGGAAUUUCCGGUGUAGCGGUGAAAUGCGUAGAUAUCGGAAGGAACACCAGUGGCGAAAGCGGCUUCCUGGUCCAGCACCGACGUUCAGGCACGAAGGCCAGGGGAGCAAACGGG